Pipistrellus kuhlii (Kuhl's pipistrelle) is the source of this 408-nucleotide long non-coding RNA. RefSeq lists it as uncharacterized. The transcript has 2 exons. The record is from RefSeq and is a predicted model, not a curated record. Lineage: Eukaryota; Metazoa; Chordata; Mammalia; Chiroptera; Vespertilionidae.
CUUCAGUCCGCAGACAGACGCUCUAUCCACUGAGCCAAACCGGUUUUGCUUUUUUCUUAGUCUUUUUAUAUAAAUAACUGAUGAACCAAUUAUUUUCUCUCACUUCUGCAAAGCCAAAGUCAUUGAAAUUGAUUCCAGAUUUAGCAUUUUUAAGAAUAAUCACUCAAACAUAUACAAAAUUAUUUAAUAUUUUUGAAGAAUUAUAGGAAUAUGAAAGCUAAAUUUUAUAUUCUUGCACUUUUUGAUAUUAGAAAGUCCAAAGACAUUAUAAAGUAUUUUUCUUGCUAACCCAUGUAAGAAUUAUAAUGUGCAGAAAAGAUGAGAGAUUUUUUUGUGCAGGAAAUAACUGUGUUUCAGACUGUAAUUGCUUUUGAAUUCCUGUUAUUUUCCCUUGAAAAGAAAACAGAA